Molecule: ribosomal RNA, 459 nt
Filed under: uncultured bacterium
Lineage: Bacteria
Description: partial 16S ribosomal RNA
Rfam family: Bacterial small subunit ribosomal RNA
Source: RNAcentral
CCUACGGGUGGCAGCAGUGAGGAAUAUUGGUCAAUGGGCGCGAGCCUGAACCAGCCAAGUCGCGUGAGGGAAGACGGUCCUAUGGAUUGUAAACCUCUUUUGUCGGGGAGCAAAAGACGCCACGCGUGGCGUUCCGAGAGUACCCGAAGAAAAAGCAUCGGCUAACUCCGUGCCAGCAGCCGCGGUAAUACGGAGGAUGCGAGCGUUAUCCGGAUUUAUUGGGAUUAAAGGGUGCGCAGGCGGAAGAUCAAGUCAGCGGUAAAAUUGAGGGGCUCAACCUCUUCGAGCCGUUGAAACUGGUUUUCGUGAGUGAGCGGAAGGCAGGCGGAAUGCGUCGUGUAGCGGUGAAAUGCUUAGAUAUGACGAAGAACCCCGAUUGCGAAGGCAGCUUGCUGCAGCGGAACUGACGCUGAUGCUCGAAAGCGCGGGUAUCGAACAGGAUUGGAUACCCCUGUAGUC